Molecule: long non-coding RNA, 2412 nt
Filed under: Equus asinus (donkey)
Lineage: Eukaryota; Metazoa; Chordata; Mammalia; Perissodactyla; Equidae
Description: lncRNA (ENSEASG00005038656.1)
Source: RNAcentral
GGCCACAGCCCUGCCUGGCAGCUCCAAGGGAAUAGGUAAACAGAGAGAAGACAAACAUCAACAAGAAAGAGUGUAACUUACAAAGCACAUGUUUCCAGGGAGAAGAAUCCAGAGAAAACAUUAAAUGGUUGUCUGGAGCCCCCACCCAAGAUGAUAAAGAAGUGUCCUUGUUAACCCUGGGGAAGCUGACACUCCACCCCCUUGAUCUUCUUGUUCCAGCCCUGUGACCCCAGGAACCGUCUGCUGCAACUAGCACCCAGGAGCUCGUCUCUCUAUUUCUCACCCCAGCGUCUCUCCUCUGGCCCCUUCAUCUCACCUUCUUCCUUCCCACCCAGCACCCAGACCCUGCACUCAGGCAGGUGGGAGUUGGAGUCCUUGCUGGGUGACCGUGGGUCACAUGAGUUAAGAGAGGAUAACUUUAGAGAUGCUGGGAACUUCCUCGCCUGAUCUACCAAAGUCACAGGCAGGAACGAAUCUUUCUCAGAACCCUCCAGAAGACUCCUCUCCACUCCUAUUGGCCAGAAUUGCAUUACAUGUUCAGGCUGAAUCUAUUACUAGCAAGAGGAAGAGUUGCUCACAUUGGCUUAACGUCAUCAAGACCCACGCUCUGGAAGCUGGGGUUGGUCCCAUCUCUCCUGGAUGCACAGGGGCCUCUCUGAGGAGGAGAUAGUGACUGGAAUUGAGGUUUGGUUAGGAAGGAAUGUGGGCUCCUUGCCCCUGGGGGAGGCAACCUAACAGUGCCUGCUGUAGGAACCUACCCACAUACUUGAGAAAGUCUGGCAAGCUUGGAGACCCUGGUAGGACAGAAGAUGAUGGACAAACCAAUAAGCUCAGGGCAGGAUGUCUUUUCAAGGAUGCUGACUUCUGGUCCUCAUUGUCCACACAGGUGAGGGGAGCUCUGUUCUAGGAAACCGGAUGGAGAACGGACAAAGGCUAACCUAGUGAAUGUCCUUUCAGUAUACACUUGCAAAUGUAAAAUAAUUUUAUAUUUUUAUCUGUAUAAAUAUCAAAGUAUAGAUCUAGAAUGGAGUUAAAAGAUGGAGGAGAUUGAAUUCUCAAUGUCAAGCACUCAGGUACUCUCUAGCUGUGCUUUACACUUUCCCGGGUUUCUCGGGAGUGGUCUUCUAGAUACUGACUCAUUAGACAACUAUGUGUCAGAACACUUUUACCAGUUCUUAAUCAGGAACAUGUGGUCCCUGUACCCAUAAGGAGGCCAAGAGCUUUCAAGUGAAGUUUUCACAUCAUCAUAAACUGUCUACAGGUGAAAGGAUGUAUUUACCUUUCUGGGUCACACCCGGUCCUGGCUGGAAGACUGUUAUUUCAUGAAGUCUAGACAUAUUAUUCUCCCCAAGCACACACCUGCACACCGUGUGACUCAACCACCACAGAGCCAGCACACAGCCACCUGGCCUCUCACACCACCCCGCUCUUUGAGUGACUCACAACCUCUUUUUACCCAUUCUUGUCCCUUCUAUCACCUGAGACAGGACUUCUGGACCUUAUGUUGAAGUUUUAGGAGUGAGUUUUUAUAAUAUUUAGGUACAAGCUAGUAAUUUGCCAGGAAUACAGCUUACUGAGACAAAUGAGUGAUCUCUCCAGUCAAAUUGCCAGUCCUUUCCUUAGUAAAGGCAGCAUUUCCUCAUCCCAGGGGCUACUGGAUGGGCUCAAGGGGACAGAUAGCAAAUUCUACCUCAAAAGGGUGAAAAAUGAAACAUCUUAGCUGCAUCCAAAGUCACCAGUGGGGGACAUGAUUGUUAAUUGGAGGCCCUACUGAUGUCAUUUGUUAAACAGAUAAACGUGUCCACCAAUAGUAAGUGACCCGUCCACUGGUAGGUAAGACAAGGUCUGUUGGGUCAAAAUCCUACUUGUGGCAGGCUACUCUUCCUUCAAGGCCCUGACGGUCCUAUCCUUCUACAAAAAUUUCUUCCUGGGGCCCGACCGGGGGCAUAAUGGUCAAGUUUGCAUCCACUGCUUUGGCAGCCCAGGGUUCGCAGGUUCAGAUUCUGGGCGCAGACCUAUACACUGCUCAUCAAGCUAUGCUGUGGCAGCAUCCCACAUACAAAAUAGGGGAGGAUUGGCACAGAUGUUAGCUCAGCGAUAAUCUUCCUCAAGCAAAAAGAGGAAGAUUGGGAACAGAUGUUAUCUCAGGGCCAAUCUUCCUCACCAAAAAAACCCCAGAAAAAUAUCCCACAAAAUUUCUUCCUACUCUCUCAGGGAGGCAGCACCAUAUAGAAGUCAAGGGCUCUAAGCUAGAGUUUCUGUGUUCAGAUCCUGGUUCUGCCACUUACCUGCUGUGGGAUCUUAGGCAAGUUAUUUCAUGUCUCCAUGCACAUGUCCUCAUCUCCAAAAUGAUAUAAUAAGAGUGUCUAGUUCAUAUGCAUGUUAUGACUGUUCCGUGUAAAGUAAUUGGUA